RNAcentral lists this ribosomal RNA (839 nucleotides) under Acinetobacter baumannii. RNAcentral's name for it is "bacterial SSU rRNA". It matches the Rfam family "Bacterial small subunit ribosomal RNA", at positions 564 to 1403 of the family's 1533-position model. The record is from RNAcentral. Lineage: Bacteria; Pseudomonadati; Pseudomonadota; Gammaproteobacteria; Moraxellales; Moraxellaceae.
AGCGCGCGUAGGUGGUUAAUUAAGUCAAAUGUGAAAUCCCCGAGCUUAACUUGGGAAUUGCAUUCGAUACUGGUUAGCUAGAGUAUGGGAGAGGAUGGUAGAAUUCCAGGUGUAGCGGUGAAAUGCGUAGAGAUCUGGAGGAAUACCGAUGGCGAAGGCAGCCAUCUGGCCUAAUACUGACACUGAGGUGCGAAAGCAUGGGGAGCAAACAGGAUUAGAUACCCUGGUAGUCCAUGCCGUAAACGAUGUCUACUAGCCGUUGGGGGAUUUGAUCCUUUAGUGGCGCAGCUAACGCGAUAAGUAGACCGCCUGGGGAGUACGGUCGCAAGACUAAAACUCAAAUGAAUUGACGGGGGCCCGCACAAGCGGUGGAGCAUGUGGUUUAAUUCGAUGCAACGCGAAGAACCUUACCUGGCCUUGACAUAGUAGAGACUUUCCAGAGAUGGAUUGGUGCCUUCGGGAAUCUACAUACAGGUGCUGCAUGGCUGUCGUCAGCUCGUGUCGUGAGAUGUUGGGUUAAGUCCCGCAACGAGCGCAACCCUUUUCCUUACUUGCCAGCAUUUCGGAUGGGAACUUUAAGGAUACUGCCAGUGACAAACUGGAGGAAGGCGGGGACGACGUCAAGUCAUCAUGGCCCUUACGGCCAGGGCUACACACGUGCUACAAUGGUCGGUACAAAGGGUUGCUACACAGCGAUGUGAUGCUAAUCUCAAAAAGCCGAUCGUAGUCCGGAUCGCAGUCUGCAACUCGACUGCGUGAAGUCGGAAUCGCUAGUAAUCGCGGAUCAGAAUGCCGCGGUGAAUACGUUCCCGGGCCUUGUACACACCGCCCGUCACACC